CCUACGGGGCGCUGCAGUGGGGAAUAUUGGACAAUGGGCGAAAGCCUGAUCCAGCCAUGCCGCGUGUGUGAAGAAGGCCUUCGGGUUGUAAAGCACUUUCAGUGGGGAAGAAAGCCUUGGGGCUAAUACCCUCGAGGAAGGACAUCACCCACAGAAGAAGCACCGGCUAACUCCGUGCCAGCAGCCGCGGUAAUACGGAGGGUGCGAGCGUUAAUCGGAAUUACUGGGCGUAAAGCGCGCGUAGGCGGUCUGAUAAGCCGGUUGUGAAAGCCCCGGGCUCAACCUGGGAACGACAUCCGGAACUGUCAGGCUAGAGUGCAGGAGAGGAAGGUAGAAUUCCCGGUGUAGCGGUGAAAUGCGUAGAGAUCGGGAGGAAUACCAGUGGCGAAGGCGGCCUUCUGGACUGACACUGACGCUGAGGUGCGAAAGCGUGGGUAGCAAACAGGAUUAGAUACCCUAGUAGUC
Molecule: ribosomal RNA, 465 nt
Filed under: Vreelandella stevensii
Lineage: Bacteria; Pseudomonadati; Pseudomonadota; Gammaproteobacteria; Oceanospirillales; Halomonadaceae
Description: partial 16S ribosomal RNA
Rfam family: Bacterial small subunit ribosomal RNA
Source: RNAcentral